This 90-nucleotide non-coding RNA is filed under the name bovine gut metagenome. The record is from RNAcentral.
GUUUGGGGGUGCCGCACUAUGCUGUGUGGCUGAGAACAUACCCAUGGAAUCUGAUCCGGGUCAUACCGGCGUAGAGAACUAAACUUAUUA